Long non-coding RNA from Gadus morhua (Atlantic cod), 1568 nucleotides. The record is from Ensembl. NCBI's taxonomy places the organism in Eukaryota, Metazoa, Chordata, Actinopteri, Gadiformes, Gadidae.
AUGAUCCAAACAAAACACAGGGAAUACUACGGUCAGCAAAAUUGUCGCGGCGGGAUCUACGCAAGACCCGCUCCGGUCAUCUGUGUGUCUGCGCAUGCGUGUGGUGGUCACGGUUGCCUAGCGACAGACACCACACACCGACGCUGCUCACAAAAACCGCGCCUUUUAAAAAUGUCCACUACACCCGAUACUUCACCACGUCCUCAAAAGCGUAAACGCUUGCAGAAGUACGGACGUGAGUGGGAAGACGCACAUCCUAGGCUGGACAGCGUCAGUGGAGAUGUUUACAAGGCAAGUUGUAAAAUAUGUCGGCGAGUGUUUUCAGUGGCGCACGGUGGGCUGUCUGACAUCAGACAGCAUGCAACAGGAGAGCAACACUGCAGACACGAAAGAUCACAGAAGACCCAAGCGUCAGUGUCACAGUUCUUCUACAUUCUACUUGCUGUAGUUUGGUCUGGCUUUGCGAGACUACAGUUCUUCAUACCCCAAUCAUCUCCUGAGGUUGAUACGCCCAAAGCAGCAACUUUCUGCAGUUCACAGUGCCCUCUCAAGCAGCAACUACAGCAAGCUGUGUCACAAGCAAAGCCAUCUGGCUAUUCAGCCUCCACCGGGAAAGUUCUCCUGCGACAGUAUUGGAUACGAACGGCUAAUGCAAGGUAAAUCUAAAACCCUAGGUACCUCUCAUUCUUAGUUUUAAGUUGACUUUUAUACUGAUAUGAAAAUCUAGUUCAGAUGAGGUUUGAUUUAUUUCUGCCUGUUUUUUCCAGAUUCAAAAAAGAUGAAAUGGUCUAGUAAAACAUGUCGAUUUGAGGGUGACACACGGACAGAACUGUUGAAACACUACAGACUAAGACAUGGAAUUGUUAGCCGUGGCCAGACAGUGCCUUGCCUUUAUAAGGAUUGCCCUUGUUCAUUUAAGACGUUCAAUGCCCUUAAUAUUCAUUUAUCCAGGCAGCACCCUGAGGCAGUGACAUCAAAAGAUAUUCUAUCCUUUAGUUGUGUCCUGUGCAGUUCCAGUUGUUUUGAUUCAGAAAGGCAAUAUUUUGAACAUCUUGGAAGCCAUUUGAGGAGAUUUGAAGUAGUUGCAUGUGUAUUUAAAAACUGCACCUUCAGCUGAAACAUAUAUUCAAGCUUCGCCUCGCACAGACACAGGAAACAUUCUUCACAUGGACUUGAAGACUUUAAAGAUGAAGUAUUGAAAAAAUACUUGGUUCCAGUUGUUGACACUGAAGAGGAGGAUCCUCAACCUUUGAUUGAGGAGGAUCCUCAACCUUUGUUUGAGGAAGACAAGGAUCUAUCUCGGAUCAUAAAAGAGAAGUUUGGCAGCCUUUUUCUUAGGUUAGAGAGCACCUUUAAUGUGUCAAACAAGUGCAUUGAUGAAAUCGUUAAUGAGCUUCAAUUCAUAUCAUGCACAGCAUCAGUUCCUGUUAUAAGAGAGUUGAUUGAGUCUACUCUAAGGAUCCAUAGCUGUGAGUUGGACACAGCUGUAAUCUCUGAUUUGGUUAAAAUUCUCAGCGAGGCACACCCAAUAAGCUCAGCUUUGGCAAGCGAUGGUCCCUUCUCAACAU